GCGGUUAUGAUGCAUAAGGAAAUCUUUAUGCACUCUGCAUAAAUCUAGAAAUGGUUUUGGAGUACAACUCACGAAAACCAUUUUUAUAGCAAAAUGGUUUUGGCAUAAUUUUAUGCAGGGUGCUGGAAACCAUUAAGUAUAUCUAAUGGUUUUGGAGUACAACUCACAGAAACCAUUUCUGGAUUUAUGCAGGGUGCAUAAGGAUUUCCUUAUGCACCAUAACCG
This 225-nucleotide microRNA precursor is filed under the name Medicago truncatula (barrel medic). Its description in RNAcentral is "miR2652l stem-loop (mtr-MIR2652l)". Lineage: Eukaryota; Viridiplantae; Streptophyta; Magnoliopsida; Fabales; Fabaceae. The record is from miRBase by way of RNAcentral.